UGGGGAAUAUUGGACAAUGGGGACAACCCUGAUCCAGCCAUGCCGCGUGUGUGAAGAAGGCCUUUUGGUUGUAAAGCACUUUAAGCAGUGAAGAAGACUCCAUGGUUAAUACCCAUGGACGAUGACAUUAGCUGCAGAAUAAGCACCGGCUAACUCUGUGCCAGCAGCCGCGGUAAUACAGAGGGUGCAAGCGUUAAUCGGAAUUACUGGGCGUAAAGCGAGCGUAGGUGGCUUGAUAAGUCAGAUGUGAAAGCCCCGGGCUUAACCUGGGAACGGCAUCUGAUACUGUUAGGCUAGAGUAGGUGAGAGGAAGGUAGAAUUCCAGGUGUAGCGGUGAAAUGCGUAGAGAUCUGGAGGAAUACCGAUGGCGAAGGCAGCCUUCUGGCAUCAUACUGACACUGAGGUUCGAAAGCGUGGGUAGCAAACA
Molecule: ribosomal RNA, 427 nt
Filed under: uncultured bacterium
Lineage: Bacteria
Description: partial 16S ribosomal RNA
Rfam family: Bacterial small subunit ribosomal RNA
Source: RNAcentral